This is a transfer RNA of Colletotrichum sublineola, 93 nucleotides long. It matches the Rfam family "tRNA". From Rfam's summary of the family: Transfer RNA (tRNA) molecules are approximately 80 nucleotides in length. Their secondary structure includes four short double-helical elements and three loops (D, anti-codon, and T loops). The record is from Rfam. NCBI's taxonomy places the organism in Eukaryota, Fungi, Ascomycota, Sordariomycetes, Glomerellales, Glomerellaceae.
GGCCGGUUGGCCCAAUGGCAAGGCGUCUGACUACGAUUCCAUAAAAAGAUUCGUGAAAUCAGGAGAUUCUGGGUUCGACCCCCAGGCUGGUCA